GUUGACCUCGGAUCGGGUAGGGAUACCCGCUGAACUUAAGCAUAUCA
This 47-nucleotide ribosomal RNA is filed under the name Schizothyrium inaequale. Its description in RNAcentral is "partial 28S ribosomal RNA". The record is from RNAcentral. RNAcentral also lists the same sequence under 3 other names. Lineage: Eukaryota; Fungi; Ascomycota; Dothideomycetes; Mycosphaerellales; Schizothyriaceae.